CGCGACUUGAAAUUACGGCGCAUAUUAUCUUCCGUUAUCCACUUUCCAGUAAUAUCUCACACAUCGGGUCUUGUACGUAAUACCUGCGGAGGUAUAUACGCUAUGCGAGAUCUCCUCGUUCCUAUCUCACCUUUUGUACGAGUUAUUUUGUUUUUCUAUUGCGUUCUUUGUCCCGUUCCCGUACAAACGCACCACCUCUGUGUUGUACGUGCAUGUGUACGACGAAGCGUGUAACAACGCCGGCUGUCCAUCCUGGAUUUAUGCCGUACGAUCGAUUCAUCUCACAAUCAGUCGUAUGGAAUCGAUGGUUAGAGUCGGUAGACUGCUGUAUAAUUGUUGUGGCUGUAGGAUAUUUUCGAUCAUAUCUGUCGAUCUGUACAAGAGUAAAGACACCCUGGGUGUACAACGUACACUGUGCAGGACACAAGACG
RNAcentral lists this unclassified non-coding RNA (431 nucleotides) under Athalia rosae (coleseed sawfly). RNAcentral describes it as "misc RNA ENSAEAG00005002876.1". Lineage: Eukaryota; Metazoa; Arthropoda; Insecta; Hymenoptera; Athaliidae. The record is from RNAcentral.